RNAcentral lists this long non-coding RNA (2081 nucleotides) under Eucalyptus grandis. RNAcentral's name for it is "long non-coding RNA (EGRA_LNC001315)". Lineage: Eukaryota; Viridiplantae; Streptophyta; Magnoliopsida; Myrtales; Myrtaceae. The record is from RNAcentral.
CUUAGAAAAAGCUCAAGAGAACCAGAGAAACCGAGCAGCAUCAGCCCCUCCAUCGUCGCACACCCGCCAGACCAUUUUCCCCCUCUGUUUUCUCUUCUACCGAUUUCUGCUCCAGCUGAUCGUUUGCCAAAGAUCCGAGUGAAAAGUUGACUUCCCGGAUGAAUAAGCCAACGAGCCACCCAUCUCCACGACGAGGACAUCCAGACCGUUCCAUAGAGCCUAGCCUUGCCCCGAAGAGUCCGGUACGCCGAUGUGAAGUUACCGGUCGCUAGUCCGUCGAUCCCCUGCCUACCUGCACUAUUUUCAUUUUUCUUCAUUAUUCUCCCAUUUCGACCCUUCCUUUGGCCGUCCCAUCCACCUACAAGACCCCCAGGAGCCGCCGAUUGCCGACCACCCGCUCGCCGAAGCUUUGGCCAAGCCUAUUUAGCUCUGUUUCUCCUCCGAUGACCAGUUUUUCCAAGUUGCAAAGGUAGUCCAAAUUUGUGGCUGCUGUUUCAGCCUUGGGAUCGCAUUGGAUCUCUGUGGUUGAGGUUCCCGAGCCUCCUUGCCGCCGUCAAUCAGCCGUACGCCGCCCCCAAGCUGCCGAACCUUUGCCGCUCACUAUUUCCGCGCCAAACCGCCGCCGGUUCCAACUGCUCGGCUCAAGAUCAGAAAUCGAGGACAGCAAGGGUUUUCGGUCUUUGAGGCCCGUUUUAGGUUUGUCGCCGUCGUCGUGGAUUCACCGGAACGCUAAACCGAUGAGUUUAUCUCUCGCUUAAGAGGUUAAUCAUGCUUAAUGGGUGUUUAGAUUAGCAUAAUGAUAUUUAAGUGGUUAGAUUAGUUUAAUUAAGUGUGGAUUAGAUUAAGUGAUGGAUUAGUUUAGCGGAUGGAUUAAUUAUUCUAAUUAUGCGAUUAGAUUAGUGUAAUCCUAAUUAGACUUUUAAUUAAUUAUUUUAUUUAUUUAUUUAUUUAAAAUUAAAUUUUAUUUAAUUAUAUUAUUUAAUAUUUAAUUAGUUUAAUUUUCGGAAUUGAUUUAAUUAUUUAAUUAAUUAAAAUUUUCCAAAAAUUCGAUCGAGAUGGCCGAUCGUUAGAAGUUCGCUCUGACUACUGUGGUAUGGUCGGAUUUUGGAAUUGGAUGCUGGAUUGGGCAUUUGAUGAUGAAUUAUGAAAUUGCAUGUUGUAUAUGUGAAUUGGGUGAUUUAUGCAAUUGGCUAUUGAUUGUUCGAUUGAAUGCUUAUUUGUGCGAUUGUGGGGCAUUUGAGAGUUAACAAGCAUGUUAUUGUGAGUUAGACCAAGAUACCACCGAAUUGAGAAUCGGUUGUGCAGUUGAGCCGUAAUUCAGCAUUACCACAGAACUUGGAAUCGGUUGUACAACUGAGCCGUAAUUCAGCAUUACCACCGAACUUGGAAUCGGUCGUGCUGCUGAGCCGUAAUUCAGCAUUACCACUUUAUCUAGGUCGUGCCGCUGAGCCGUAAUUCAGCAUUACUACCGAAUUUGGAAUCGGUUGUGCCCACUGAGCCGUAAUUCAGCAUUACCGCCAAAGUUUUAGUUGGUUGUGCUCGCUAAGCCGUAAUUCAGCGUUGGGUUGAGUAUUUGAGAUAACCGUGUAGGCCAUGCUCUCUAAGCCAUUAUUCAGCGUUGGGAUUAAGUAAUUGAGAUGACCAGGGAAUGGUCUCGUUGACAUGUAAUCGACUAAGUCAAUUGAUUGAUGAUUCGAUCUAAAUUCUUGAUUGAUGUGAUUCGAUGAUUGUUUAUUGAAUUGUGCUAACGUGAAGGAAGGAACUGAGGCAAGGUAAGUCCCAUGUGUUGUGUGGUUAGGCCACCUCUGAGUGUAUUUCCUUUUUAAUAGGGAUUUAGGGGGUGAACUUGCUGAAACAAUGUCUCACCCCAGUUGUGGGCUUAUCUUUUCAGGUCCGUAGAUGUUGGUUAUGGAGGACCGAAGCCCCGGAGUUUGUGGAGGCAGAGUUUGAAGGAUCGUCGUAUGUGUCCGACUAGUAGGUCAUAGGACAACUUCUUUUGAGAGUCGACCUGUUGUAGCCUUUGGGAAAAUCUCAAAUAAUGACUCAAAGUGAGCCUACUUUCUCAAAUAAGGAUCCGAAGU